Molecule: ribosomal RNA, 523 nt
Filed under: Systomus orphoides (Javaen barb)
Lineage: Eukaryota; Metazoa; Chordata; Actinopteri; Cypriniformes; Cyprinidae
Description: LSU rRNA
Rfam family: Bacterial large subunit ribosomal RNA
Source: RNAcentral
AAGAGGUCCAGCCUGCCCAGUGACCGCAAGUUUAACGGCCGCGGUAUUUUGACCGUGCAAAGGUAGCGCAAUCACUUGUCUUUUAAAUAAAGACCUGUAUGAAUGGCUAAACGAGGGCUUAACUGUCUCCCAUUUCAAGUCAGUGAAAUUGAUCUACCCGUGCAGAAGCGGGUAUAAUUAUACAAGACGAGAAGACCCUUUGGAGCUUAAGGCGUAAAACUCAACCACGUCAAGCGACUCAAUAAAAAGCAACUUUUUUAAACCUUGUGGCAAAUGAGACCACUGCCUUCGGUUGGGGCGACCAUGGAGGAAAAGAAAGCCUCCAAGUGGAAUGGGGCAACCCCCUAAAACCAAGAGAGACAUCUCUAAGCUACAGAACAUCUGACCAUAUAUGAUCCGGUCCACUAAGACCGAUCAACGAACCAAGUUACCCUAGGGAUAACAGCGCAAUCCUCUCCCAGAGUCCAUAUCGACGAGGGGGUUUACGACCUCGAUGUUGGAUCAGGACAUCCUAAUGGUGCAG